Molecule: long non-coding RNA, 572 nt
Organism: Sycon ciliatum
Lineage: Eukaryota; Metazoa; Porifera; Calcarea; Leucosolenida; Sycettidae
Exons: 3
Source: RefSeq, a predicted model, not a curated record
GUUCUCAGAGGAAAGACGACGGACCUCAGCAGUGAUACGACUACGGCCGCGCUAUCUCCCGCCUACAGAACGGCAAGUCCGCUGGAGCCUCUGGCAUCCUCCCUGAGGUGCUCAUGGAGGGGUGGGUGGCCCUGACCUCACCGCCAAGCUUGUGGAGCUGUUUGGCGAUGUGUGGCGUGCUGGGGUGGUCCCGCAGGAGUGGGUGGACGCCACGUUGGUCCCCAUCCCAAAGAAAGGGAUUUAUCUCGCUGUGAUAAUUGGCGGGGUAUCUCACUUGCUACCAGUCAGCCCUUUCGAAUAGGUGCAUCCCGCUCUUGCCUCACCACAAGUCUCCAGCGAGACGUCCGCAUCACACCUAUCUGCAUUUUUAAGCCCAGCUGCCUUCGUGAUCUCGGCACCUAUGCCCGCGACAGAAAACAAUGGAGUAACAUCUGCUCAGCCAUUUAGUCUAGUACUGCUCUUCUUAAAUUUGACCUUUAUUACAAGACUCUUCUUUUCUUUUUCAUUUCGUUCUCCCACUCUCACACACACAUGCUCACAGUUAAUUCUGCCAUCGUGAGUCUCAUUCGGGA